RNAcentral lists this ribosomal RNA (468 nucleotides) under uncultured bacterium. Its description in RNAcentral is "partial 16S ribosomal RNA". It matches the Rfam family "Bacterial small subunit ribosomal RNA", at positions 28 to 507 of the family's 1533-position model. The record is from RNAcentral.
GACGAACGCUGGCGGCGUGCUUAACACAUGCAAGUCGAACGGAAAGGCCCUGCUUUUGUGGGGUGCUCGAGUGGCGAACGGGUGAGUAACACGUGAGUAACCUGCCCUUUACUUUGGGAUAACUUCAGGAAACUGGGGCUAAUACCGGAUAGGAGCUCCUGCUGCAUGGUGGGGGUUGGAAAGUUUCGGCGGUUGGGGAUGGAUUCGCGGCUUAUCAGCUUGUUGGUGGGGUAGUGGCUUACCAAGGCUUUGACGGGUAGCCGGCCUGAGAGGGUGACCGGCCACAUUGGGACUGAGAUACGGCCCAGACUCCUACGGGAGGCAGCAGUGGGGAAUAUUGCACAAUGGGCGGAAGCCUGAUGCAGCAACGCCGCGUGCGGGAUGACGGCCUUCGGGUUGUAAACCGCUUUCGCCUGUGACGAAGCGUGAGUGACGGUAAUGGGUAAAGAAGCACCGGCUAACUACGUG